GCGAUCGCGACGGGAAUCCCGGUUCGUCCUGUCAAGCCGGAGGUCGCGGGUUCGAGCCCCGUCGACCCCGCCA
This 73-nucleotide transfer RNA is filed under the name Acidobacteria bacterium 13_1_20CM_2_68_14. RNAcentral describes it as "tRNA-Asp". The record is from RNAcentral. Lineage: Bacteria; Pseudomonadati; Acidobacteriota.